RNAcentral lists this ribosomal RNA (694 nucleotides) under uncultured marine bacterium. Its description in RNAcentral is "bacterial SSU rRNA". It matches the Rfam family "Bacterial small subunit ribosomal RNA", at positions 66 to 805 of the family's 1533-position model. The record is from RNAcentral.
ACGAAGUAGCAAUACUUAGUGGCAGACGGGUGAGUAACAUGUAGGUAUCUGCCCUUUGGCCUGGAAUAACACGAGGAAACUUGUGCUAAUACUGGAUAAGCCUUUACGGAGAAAGCUUUAUGCACCAUUGGAUGAGCCUGCACUUGAUUAGUUUGUUGGUAGGGUAAUGGCCUACCAAGACUGUGAUCAAUAGCUGAUUUGAGAGGAUGAUCAGCCACAUUGGGACUGAGACACGGCCCAAACUCCUACGGGAGGCAGCAGUGGGGAAUCUUGCACAAUGGAGGAAACUCUGAUGCAGCGAUGCCGCGUGAGUGAAGAAGGCCUUUGGGUUGUAAAGCUCUUUCGUCGGGGAAGAAAAUGACUGUACCCGAAUAAGAAGGUCCGGCUAACUUCGUGCCAGCAGCCGCGGUAAUACGAAGGGACCUAGCGUAGUUCGGAAUUACUGGGCUUAAAGAGUUCGUAGGUGGUUGAAAAAGUUGGUGGUGAAAUCCCAGAGCUUAACUCUGGAACUGCCAUCAAAACUUUUCAGCUAGAGUAUGAUAGAGGGAAGCAGAAUUUCUAGUGUAGAGGUGAAAUUCGUAGAUAUUACAAAGAAUACCAAUUGCGAAGGCAGCUUCCUGGAUCAUUACUGACACUGAGGAACGAAAGCAUGGGUAGCGAACAGGAUUACAUACCCUCGUAGUCCAUGCCGUAA